CCCUACCGUUGGUAUGUACCUUGUCGUGGUGGUAGGGCAACUAACCAGGCAUCAAUGUAUGCAGGAGCAUACAUUCUGGCACUUCGUAGAAGUAGGUGACAGUGAAACAAAGAUGUGGAAUGGUUAGGCCAAACAUGC
This 138-nucleotide non-coding RNA is filed under the name Saccoglossus kowalevskii. Lineage: Eukaryota; Metazoa; Hemichordata; Enteropneusta; Harrimaniidae. The record is from RNAcentral.